UACGGGGGGGGCAAGCGUUGUUCGGAAUUACUGGGCGUAAAGGGCGCGUAGGCGGCCUGUUAAGUCGAACGUGAAAUCCCCGGGCUCAACCCGGGAACUGCGUCCGAUACUGGCAGGCUUGAAUCCGGGAGAGGGAUGCGGAAUUCCAGGUGUAGCGGUGAAAUGCGUAGAUAUCUGGAGGAACACCGGUGGCGAAGGCGGCAUCCUGGACCGGCAUUGACGCUGAGGCGCGAAAGCCAGGGGAGCAAACAGG
Molecule: ribosomal RNA, 253 nt
Filed under: uncultured bacterium
Lineage: Bacteria
Description: partial 16S ribosomal RNA
Rfam family: Bacterial small subunit ribosomal RNA
Source: RNAcentral